AUAUUUUGUUUUGAAAAGGUGCUCAAGCUCUGACAUUUUUGGUUUUCAUAGCCGUGAAGUAUUUAUCAUUUGCAUGACUAAUGGCACAGAAAAAAACCUAUUCAUAAGUUUUACAAUCAAGAGUAGAAGGGUUUUCAGCUAACUUCAGUUAUAAAUGCUGAAGAGAGUAUCUUGAGCUGAUCCUCUGGAGAUAAAUUUGGCCUUCAGAACUGCAAUAUCACUGAGCCUGUGAUCCAAAUACCACCCCACAUUUCGUUGGUUUCACAUUCUUGUGCAAGUAACCUCUGGUCUUAUGUGUGUAACUGAGAGAAGAGUGUAUGUUUGUGUAUGCAUGUGUGUUUAUUGUUCCUAAGAAUUGGGCACAAGUUGGAGAUAACUGCCUAUACUGGCAAUCUAUACUGCAGAAUAUACAUUUAAAAAAAUUUUUUUCUUUUAUGUUGCAACUUUUUUUUUGGUUCUUUUAAGCUGUGAUAGUGAUGGUAACUGAUGCCUCUCAUUUUAUUCACCUUACACAAAACAAGCCAGCAUCUGAUCAAAAGUAUUACAUGAAAUCUUUCUUAAACUAUCGAAAGGUGCUUUGAUGAUUUUCUCCUUUGGUUUGUAGAAUUAGGACUGAACUUCUGACUCUAACUGCUACAGUUACCAUCACUUUUCUGUGGUAAAACUACUGAUAUUUGCUCUUCUGUAUAAGGAAAUGUUGCCUAAGGAUGUCUGCUGUUUGUUUUCAGGCCUUUUCCAGUGAGCAUGCUGUCUGUGUAUGUAUGAAUCCCAAAGUGCUUAUUUUGUUUGUUGCUGUUGGUUUUUUGUCUUUUUGAGUUUUUGUUCUUCUCAGUGGUCUUGUGUUAGCACUGGGUGAGCUUUAAUUGUCUCCUUAGCCAAUCAAAUGUUCAAGACUAUGGGGGUCUUUUUUUUUUUAAUUAACGUGUCAUUGUGCAUCUAUUAAAUCUUGAUCAGGGUUUCAAGAAUGACUGCAGUGGGUUUUGGAAACAGACUUAUCAUUAUUGAUUUGGGGUUUCCCAGAGAUAUAGUUCACAGUUAAUUGUUGAGCUCUAAUACAACUGACCAUUUAAAAUUGAACAACAGUUUAUUGUUUUGUAACAAUGUCAGUUGUUAAACUUUGACAUUUCAAUUAAAACAUGAAUUGUAGUUAUAACUCAAGGCAAAUUCAGCAGUUGUAUUUGGAGUUAAAUUAUUUUAACAAAUAAAUUUAUUUAAUGAAACUUCCU
RNAcentral lists this long non-coding RNA (1226 nucleotides) under Equus asinus (donkey). RNAcentral describes it as "lncRNA (ENSEASG00005026574.1)". The record is from RNAcentral. Lineage: Eukaryota; Metazoa; Chordata; Mammalia; Perissodactyla; Equidae.